GUUAAGAUGGCAGAGCACGGUAAUUGCAAAAGAUCUAAGCCCUUUCACCCAGAGGUUCAACUCCUCUUCUUAACU
RNAcentral lists this transfer RNA (75 nucleotides) under Pleurodeles waltl (Iberian ribbed newt). Its description in RNAcentral is "tRNA-Leu". It matches the Rfam family "tRNA". Rfam says of the family: Transfer RNA (tRNA) molecules are approximately 80 nucleotides in length. Their secondary structure includes four short double-helical elements and three loops (D, anti-codon, and T loops). Further hydrogen bonds mediate the characteristic L-shaped molecular structure. tRNAs have two regions of fundamental functional importance: the anti-codon, which is responsible for specific mRNA codon recognition, and the 3' end, to which the tRNAs corresponding amino acid is attached (by aminoacyl-tRNA synthetases). tRNAs cope with the degeneracy of the genetic code in two manners: having more than one tRNA (with a specific anti-codon) for a particular amino acid; and 'wobble' base-pairing, i.e. permitting non-standard base-pairing at the 3rd anti-codon position. Lineage: Eukaryota; Metazoa; Chordata; Amphibia; Caudata; Salamandridae. The record is from RNAcentral.